UACGGGGGGUGCGAGCGUUGUCCGGAUUUAUUGGGCGUAAAGAGCGUGUAGGCGGUCUGGUAGGUCCGUUGUGAAAACUCGAGGCUCAACCUCGAGACGCCGAUGGAAACCCUCAGACUAGAGUCCGGAAGAGGAGAGUGGAAUUCCUGGUGUAGCGGUGAAAUGCGCAGAUAUCAGGAAGAACACCGGUGGCGAAGGCGGUGGGCUGGGCCGGCACUGACGCUGAGGAGCGAAAGCGUGGGGAGCGAACAGG
This 253-nucleotide ribosomal RNA is filed under the name uncultured bacterium. Its description in RNAcentral is "partial 16S ribosomal RNA". It matches the Rfam family "Bacterial small subunit ribosomal RNA", at positions 524 to 776 of the family's 1533-position model. The record is from RNAcentral.